GGUACCUCUGCAUGGUUGAUUGACUUCUUGUUUCUCUUCAGCAUCCAAAACGAAUGAUGAACAAGCAGAGGAGAUGCUUAGCCUCCCACAAUGCAAUGGAGGAGAGGGAAGUAGUUCUUGUGAACAAACGUGUGAUGAACAAGAGCCCCAGGAUGACCUGCCCUCAUCCCUGAGACAAGAAGCAG
Long non-coding RNA from Mus musculus (house mouse), 185 nucleotides. RefSeq lists it as uncharacterized. The record is from RefSeq and is a predicted model, not a curated record. Lineage: Eukaryota; Metazoa; Chordata; Mammalia; Rodentia; Muridae. The transcript is spliced from 2 exons.